AAGCUCGUAGUUGAAUUUCGGGAUUGACACAUCGGUCGUGCCUUAAGGGGUAUGAACUGGUGUAGUCAAUUUCUCACCUUCUGGAGAACCGCGAUGCCCUUAAUUGGGUGUCGCGGGGAACCAGGACCUUUACUUUGAAAAAAUUAGAGUGUUUAAAGCAGGCAUUUUGCUUGAAUACAUUAGCAUGGAAUAAUAAAAUAGGACGGCAUGAUUCUAUUUUGUUGGUUUCUAGGAUCACCGUAAUGAUUAAUAGGGAUAGUUGGG
Molecule: ribosomal RNA, 264 nt
Filed under: uncultured Glomus
Lineage: Eukaryota; Fungi; Glomeromycota; Glomeromycetes; Glomerales; Glomeraceae
Also listed under: 1 other name
Description: partial 18S ribosomal RNA
Rfam family: Eukaryotic small subunit ribosomal RNA
Source: RNAcentral